UCAAUUAGCCUGUAUUUUUCUUAAAUAUACUUCCUGAAUAGUUUUGACCAAGUUGUGUGUGUUGCUCCUUACCCUUAGAGACACCUUAAUUAUUUAACAGUUUUAUUGAACAGCAUGUUAAUAUUUUGUAGUCUGAGAUGCAUUUACAUGAUUAAGAAGAGUUAAAUUAAGAUGCUUAUUGGGAUAUUAACAUGGAUAAACAGCAUUUAUUCCAUUCUCUUCCAUGCAUCUUUUUCAUAAUGGUGAAGGGAACUGGGUCCUUCGUCAAGAUUUAAUAGGAUGUCAACCAUAAGAUGCUGUUUCACUAAUUACAUAAUUGCAUUUUUAAUGCAGUUUUUAGUUACAGGAGGUAGAACUAAUGGUGUGUUUCUACCAUUUGGGUUUCUCCUGCCCGUAAUGCAAAAUCAAGAGGUGUC
Molecule: long non-coding RNA, 416 nt
Filed under: Bos taurus (domestic cattle)
Lineage: Eukaryota; Metazoa; Chordata; Mammalia; Artiodactyla; Bovidae
Description: long non-coding RNA NONBTAT022651
Source: RNAcentral